This 223-nucleotide long non-coding RNA is filed under the name Lathyrus oleraceus (garden pea). Its description in RNAcentral is "Pisum sativum (pea) long non-coding RNA (PSAT_LNC033667)". Lineage: Eukaryota; Viridiplantae; Streptophyta; Magnoliopsida; Fabales; Fabaceae. The record is from RNAcentral.
UAUUUGGUUUGUGGAUUUAAGGUUGUCUUGGAUUGAAUAUUGGGAUGUAUUUUGAGCGCUCACUUUGGUUCAUUGUGUAACCAAAUAAUCUGUUUAUUUUAUGGUUUAUUUUCCAGUUUAUUUUAAGUGCUUAUUUUGAUAAGCAGUUUUUUUUUUAAAUUUUGAAUUUGGUUUUGCAUUUGCAGGUGAUGUGAUGUUGAAUUGAUUGAAAAGGGGCGCUGGC